GACGAACGCUGGCGGCGUGCUUAACACAUGCAAGUCGAACGGAAAGGCCUGCUUUCCCUUGUGGAUUGCGGGUACUCGAGUGGCGAACGGGUGAGUAAAACGUGAGUGAUCUGCCCCCAACUUGGGUAUAAGCCUGGGAACCUGGGUCUAAUUCCCGAUAGGACUGCAGGGUGGUGCCUGUGGUGGAAAACGAUUUUCUAGUGGUUGGGGAUGAGCUCGCGGCCUAUCAGCUUGUUGGUGGGGUAAUGGCCUACCAAGGCGGGGACGGGUAGCCGGCCUGGGAGGGUGGACGGCCACAUUGGGACUGAGAUACGGCCCAGACGCCUACGGGAGGCAGCAGUGGGGAAUAUUGCACAAUGGGCGGAAGCCUGAUGCAGCGACGCCGCGUUGAGGAUGACGGCCUUCGGGUUGUAAGCUCCUUUCGACCGCGAGGAAGCCACCUGGUUGGAAGGGUGGUGACGGUAGUGGUAGAAGAAGCACCGGCUAACUACGUG
Molecule: ribosomal RNA, 494 nt
Filed under: uncultured bacterium
Lineage: Bacteria
Description: partial 16S ribosomal RNA
Rfam family: Bacterial small subunit ribosomal RNA
Source: RNAcentral